RNAcentral lists this ribosomal RNA (251 nucleotides) under uncultured bacterium. RNAcentral's name for it is "partial 16S ribosomal RNA". It matches the Rfam family "Bacterial small subunit ribosomal RNA", at positions 57 to 305 of the family's 1533-position model. The record is from RNAcentral.
GCAAGUCGAGGGGUAACAGGAGUGCUUGCACUCGCUGACGACCGGCGCACGGGUGAGUAACGCGUAUGCAACCUGCCCACUACAGGGGGAUAGCCCGGGGAAACCCGGAUUAAUACCCCAUAAUACCAUAAAGCGGCAUCGUUUAAUGGUUAAAGCUUCGGCGGUAGUGGAUGGGCAUGCGUGCCAUUAGCUAGUUGGUGGGGUAACGGCCCACCAAGGCUACGAUGGCUAUGGGGUCUAAAAGGAUGGUC